This 92-nucleotide transfer RNA is filed under the name Oscillospiraceae bacterium. RNAcentral describes it as "tRNA-Ser". It matches the Rfam family "tRNA". Rfam says of the family: Transfer RNA (tRNA) molecules are approximately 80 nucleotides in length. Their secondary structure includes four short double-helical elements and three loops (D, anti-codon, and T loops). Further hydrogen bonds mediate the characteristic L-shaped molecular structure. tRNAs have two regions of fundamental functional importance: the anti-codon, which is responsible for specific mRNA codon recognition, and the 3' end, to which the tRNAs corresponding amino acid is attached (by aminoacyl-tRNA synthetases). tRNAs cope with the degeneracy of the genetic code in two manners: having more than one tRNA (with a specific anti-codon) for a particular amino acid; and 'wobble' base-pairing, i.e. permitting non-standard base-pairing at the 3rd anti-codon position. The record is from RNAcentral. Lineage: Bacteria; Bacillati; Bacillota; Clostridia; Eubacteriales; Oscillospiraceae.
GGAGAAGUACCCAAGUGGCCGAAGGGGCUCCCCUGCUAAGGGAGUAGGCGGUGAUAAGCCGCGCCAGGGUUCAAAUCCCUGCUUCUCCGCCA